AACAAAUACCUCUGAAUGUUAUGUACUUUCUGCACAUGUGGUAUUUUCAUACAAAAACAAAAUUAAUGCCAACAGCAAAGCUAAGCUGGUCCUUGGACCUGCUGAUAAGAUGCCCGCCUUCUCUUAGUGAUCCAGAUGUUCCAGUGCCGAGAUGGACCACACACACAUCAUUUCUUUCCCAAGAUUCCUCCGACCUCUCCCGCUUAACGGAACUGAGAGCCCUAAUCAGCACCAAGGACAGAUCCACAGCCUUGGGUCUCAGAACCACAGACAGCAACUCAACAAAUGGGGGGAUCUUCCGUGUGAAGACCAAGGACACUGAAAUGAAGAAAUGACCUCCUCCCCACCUCCAGGACGGUGUGGAACAGGACACACUCAGGUGAUCCUUAAACAACAUGGAUGUGACGUGUGCAGACUCACUUAUACACCGAUUGUUUUUUCGAUAAAUGCAGUACCACACUAUAAAUGUAUCUUCCCUUCCUCAUGAUUUUCUUAACAUUUUCUUUUCUC
This is a long non-coding RNA of Suricata suricatta (meerkat), 510 nucleotides long. RefSeq lists it as uncharacterized. NCBI's taxonomy places the organism in Eukaryota, Metazoa, Chordata, Mammalia, Carnivora, Herpestidae. The record is from RefSeq and is a predicted model, not a curated record. The transcript is spliced from 3 exons.